This 356-nucleotide unclassified non-coding RNA is filed under the name uncultured Myxotrichaceae. RNAcentral describes it as "sequence contains ITS2". The stretch from base 1 to 154 matches the Rfam family "5.8S ribosomal RNA". Lineage: Eukaryota; Fungi; Ascomycota; Leotiomycetes; Myxotrichaceae. The record is from RNAcentral.
AACUUUCGGCAACGGUUCACUUGGUUCUGGCAUCGAUGAAGAACGCAGCGAAAUGCGAUAAGUAAUGCGAAUUGCAGAAUUUAGUGAGUCAUCGAAUCUUUGAACGCACAUUGCGCCCUAUGGUAUUCCAUAGGGCAUGCCUGUUCGAGCGUCAUUUCAACCCUCAAGCCUGGCUUGGUGUUGGGUGUAGCCUAUGCGGCCAGCCCUAAAGACAGUGGCGGCGCCGCCUGGCCCUAAGCGCAGUACAGCUCUCGCUCUAGGGUCCUGCGGUGGCCUGCCAGAACCCCUAACUCUGUGGUUGACCUCGGAUCAGGUAGGGAUACCCGCUGAACUUAAGCAUAUCAAUAAGCGGAGCU